GGACAACAACACACCCUGAUUGGGGCCAAAUAAAAAACUAAGAGCAACUGUUAGCAAUCUGAUGAGUUCACAGGCAGAAAAGCGGUCCAAAAGGAGCAUAGCACAGAAGGCAUCAUCAUUACUAUUUUGUUAAAGUUUAUAUAUGCGUUCCAUUCUGAUGCUUCCCUCUCUGUGACCAGAAUGCAGCUCCAGGCUCUUCUGGGUUGUGCCAGUGGAAAGCAAAUUCUGACAGGCACCUAGGAGGACCCAAGAGACUUGGCUCCAGCUCUAGCUCUGACACUUACUAGAAGAGUCUUUUUUAUAACAGAGGAGAAGUCUUGGACAUAAGAAGUCAUCUCAUGAUUAUAUGUGACUUGCUUUUCUUUGGAAUGUGAUAUAAUUAAUAUAUGAUGAAUAAAUAUAUAAUAAACUUCCA
RNAcentral lists this long non-coding RNA (415 nucleotides) under Monodelphis domestica (gray short-tailed opossum). RNAcentral's name for it is "lncRNA (ENSMODG00000050287.1)". The record is from RNAcentral. Lineage: Eukaryota; Metazoa; Chordata; Mammalia; Didelphimorphia; Didelphidae.